This 230-nucleotide ribosomal RNA is filed under the name uncultured bacterium. Its description in RNAcentral is "partial 16S ribosomal RNA". It matches the Rfam family "Bacterial small subunit ribosomal RNA", at positions 104 to 334 of the family's 1533-position model. The record is from RNAcentral.
CGGGGUGGAGUAAUGUCUGGGAAACUGCCUGAUGGAGGGGGAUAACUACUGGAAACGGUAGCUAAUACCGCAUAACGUCUUCGGACCAAAGUGGGGGGACUUCGGGCCUCACGCCAUCGGAUGUGCCCAGAUGGGAUUAGCUAGUAGGUGGGGUAAUGGCUCACCUAGGCGACGAUCCCUAGCUGGUCUGAGAGGAUGACCAGCCACACUGGAACUGAGACACGGUCCAG